AGUGGCGGACGGGUGAGUAACACGUGGGUAACCUGCCCUUAAGUGGGGGAUAACAUUUGGAAACAGAUGCUAAUACCGCAUAGAUCCAAGAACCGCAUGGUUCUUGGCUGAAAGAUGGCGUAAGCUAUCGCUUUUGGAUGGACCCGCGGCGUAUUAGCUAGUUGGUGAGGUAAUGGCUCACCAAGGCGAUGAUACGUAGCCGAACUGAGAGGUUGAUCGGCCACAUUGGGACUGAGACACGGCCCAAACUCCUACGGGAGGCAGCAGUAGGGAAUCUUCCACAAUGGACGCAAGUCUGAUGGAGCAACGCCGCGUGAGUGAAGAAGGCUUUCGGGUCGUAAAACUCUGUUGUUGGAGAAGAAUGGUCGGCAGAGUAACUGUUGUCGGCGUGACGGUAUCCAACCAGAAAGCCACGGCUAACUACGUGCCAGCAGCCGCGGUAAUACGUAGGUGGCAAGCGUUAUCCGGAUUUAUUGGGCGUAAAGCGAGCGCAAGCGGUUUUUUAAGUCUGAUGUGAAAGCCCUCGGCUUAACCGAGGAAGCGCAUCGGAAACUGGGAAACUUGAGUGCAGAAGAGGACAGUGGAACUCCAUGUGUAGCGGUGAAAUGCGUAGAUAUAUGGAAGAACACCAGUGGCGAAGGCGGCUGUCUGGUCUGUAACUGACGCUGAGGCUCGAAAGCAUGGGUAGCGAACAGGAUUAGAUACCCUGGUAGUCCAUGCCGUAAACGAUGAAUGCU
Molecule: ribosomal RNA, 737 nt
Filed under: uncultured bacterium
Lineage: Bacteria
Description: bacterial SSU rRNA
Rfam family: Bacterial small subunit ribosomal RNA
Source: RNAcentral